CGCUUGAAUUUGAUUCGGUGAACCGUGUAAACCUGAAACACUAAUUGCCGUAAGCUAUUUGCAUUGUUUCCAUAGCUUUGUUAGCGGCAAAGCGACAGGUGUUUUGUCAAAGUAAUGGAACUGUGUGUGUUGGGCUACCUUAGUUAUUACCUAGAAAUAACGUAAAGUUAAACUAACUUUUUACUGAAGAUAUUAACCUGAAGACCCGAGGCUGUCGUCACCGCCUCGCACAGGACUAAGGAGAGGUAUAUAGUGUUUAAAAUGUAUUAAACAAGGACAAGAUGCUCUGCCUGGACCAUUGGAAGAUUUGACACCUCCCGCCAUUCUUGGUCCAGUUUCCAAUCGUCCCAUUGUUCACGCUGCCUACAUCUCUUUGGGGGUAACCUGCCGACAAACAAUGCCAAAUGACUUGACAUAGUGUUUUAUACAUCUAUACCUCCCUGCCUGUUGGGACUGUACCUGCAUUGGCAAAGAGGAAGAGAGUCUACAGCAUCUCCCCAAGGAUACGCAUCCAGAGGGCAGGAAACAUCAAUCGGCCACCUUACAUGCUGGAUCUUUGUUGAUAUGACAAGGAAUUCCCCUGGAAGCCCAUUAUGAGACAGGAAUGAUUUCAUCACCAAAAUGUGGCUAAUUUAUGAAUGUCUUGUGAUGUUAAAUAUGAUGGCAUUCUAGUAGAUAAUGUAUUUUUAAUAAUGCAAAUAUUUUAAUUAGCCCAACCCCCUCUCCAUGCAUGUAAUCUCAAGUGAAUAGUGUUUUGUGUUGUUGUUAGCUUAGGUCUCUAUUCACACACCACCUUCUGCUAUUCAUCCAAAACAAAUAAAAUCAGAUCAUUUCAGGUUUUAAAA
Molecule: long non-coding RNA, 845 nt
Organism: Notothenia coriiceps (black rockcod)
Lineage: Eukaryota; Metazoa; Chordata; Actinopteri; Perciformes; Nototheniidae
Exons: 4
Source: RefSeq, a predicted model, not a curated record